Molecule: non-coding RNA, 754 nt
Organism: Sus scrofa (pig)
Lineage: Eukaryota; Metazoa; Chordata; Mammalia; Artiodactyla; Suidae
Source: RefSeq, a predicted model, not a curated record
CAAGACAAUCAGCUCUCCUCUAGAGCCUCCAGAAGGGAAUGCGGCCCUGUUGAAGCCCUGAUUUUUGGCUCUGGGAUUCUCACUUUAAACUUCUGGCCUCCAAAACUGUUAUCAAAGAUAGAAUCUAAAAAUAGCCAAAGUGAUUGGUUGGUGAAUCCUUCAUUUCUUCAACAAAGCCCAAUCUGAUUUGGAUUUUUUAGGACGUCAUUUUUAUUUUAAAAUAAAACAAACAGAUGAUCACAUUUAUAGAUUUAUAGUAAACAUCUUAGUGUUUGCUGCAAAGUAUUUAUGCUAAUUCAGCUUCUCAAUUUGAAACACGUCUCAGCCGUCUAUCACAACUCCUGUGUUUCAUUAUCAUACACAUGCAGGACUCUUUAAAUAUGGACUUAAAUGAUGAUGACAGAACAAUCUUCUGAAAAUUACUGAACCUACUCUUUAAUGAAAAUUCUAGAGAAUGUGCUAUGACAGUAUAACAAAUGACAUAAAAUAUAAUAUUCAUUGUAUUCUGAAUGUUAUGUGGAGGAGCCUGGCAUCAGUCUCUAUAAUUCUUUCCCUCAAAGGAAGUGGUGUUACUAUUUCUCGACUAUUGAGCAUCAAGCCAUUUGGAAUGAAAAGCUCUGGAUUGAAAUCAUGAAUAGAACCAUUAUUAUAGCUGUGUGACCUCAGGUAAAUCAUAGUACUCACUGUUUUUUGCUAAAUCUGUGGUUAGAAAUAAUCUGCCUUGUAUAAAAAUCAAAAGAAAGAACACACGAUG